GAUGAAGAACGCAGCGAAAUGCGAUAAGUAAUGUGAAUUGCAGAAUUCAGUGAAUCAUCGAAUCUUUGAACGCACCUUGCGCCCUUUGGCUAUUCCGAAGGGCAUGCCUGUUUGAGUAUCGUGAACACCUCAACUCUCAUGGUUUGCCAUGAUGAGCUUGGACUUUGGGGGUUUUGCUGGCCUUUGGUCGGCUCCUCUUAAAUGAAUCAGCUUGCCAGUGUUUGGUGGCAUCACAGGUGUGAUAACUAUCUACGCUUGUGGUUUUCCAUCAAGUCACCUUCAGCGAUGGAGGUUCGCUGGGGCUCAUAAAGAAGGCCUCUCCUCGGUGAGGAUGGCUCCUUUGAACGUUUGAUCUCAAAUCAGGUAGGACUACCCGCUGAACUUAAGCAUAUCAAUAAGCGGAGGA
This 406-nucleotide unclassified non-coding RNA is filed under the name soil metagenome. RNAcentral describes it as "partial contains 5.8S ribosomal RNA, internal transcribed spacer 2, and large subunit ribosomal RNA". The stretch from base 1 to 121 matches the Rfam family "5.8S ribosomal RNA", at positions 35 to 154 of the family's 154-position model. The record is from RNAcentral.